This is a long non-coding RNA of Lycium ferocissimum, 3012 nucleotides long. RefSeq lists it as uncharacterized. Lineage: Eukaryota; Viridiplantae; Streptophyta; Magnoliopsida; Solanales; Solanaceae. The record is from RefSeq and is a predicted model, not a curated record. The transcript has 7 exons.
GGCUUGAUUCAUUGAUGGUUUAAAGUUUUCCUUUACUUCAAAUUUCAAAAUGGAACACUUAAGUCUCUAAGAGUGAUGGUAGUUCUGAUAGGUAGAUUCUUAAGACUAUAAAAAUUAAAAGAUAAAAGUCUGUUUGUCAAAUUAGGCAAUGUGGCACGAUUUUAAAGCGAAGCAUCUUUAAACUGCUACUGGUAUUUUUACUACCAGCAACUAUUACCUUAUUUGAGUUCUCCAAUUUAUGAAUUGUAGUAGAACAUGUAAGCUUUUAUAAAUUGUAGUAGAACAUGUAAGCUUUUCUUAAAGAAAUGGAUGUCAAGAAAUUUAUCUGAAUUAUUUGAGCUUGAAGCUGAUGAGGAGUCAGAAAGUUUUUACUUCAUUUGAAGCUGCUAGGAUAUUUAUUUAUAACUUUCUACCCUACAGAUUAUGUUGGUAUUAAUCAAUUGAAGCCGGUAGUCAAAAUGAACUAAUUGUUCGAAGUUUCUGACAAGCUAGACCUUCUUAAUCUCCUAGCACCAUCAUCAGCAGAAUCAAUACUCUUUUCAAAGUUCACGGCAAGAUUUUUAGGAAUGAGCUAUAUCUUCUCUAGCCUUGGCAUUAGAACUUUCACAAAAUGCAUGUUGAUGGAUUUUCAUGAAACUCAUCCCUGCCAAAUAGGGGUGGGCAUGGUAUGGUAGAUACCGAUUACCAUACCGAAAUUGAAUUUUUUAAUACCGCUGUUUUGGUAGUAUAGUGUUUGGUACGGUAUUUGAUAUACAUUUUAAGAGAGUCUGGUAUUUAGUACGGUAUUUGGUAUUCAUAAAGAAAAUACCAAAAUACCGAAUACCAUACCGAUGUAUAUAGUUACAUAUACAAUUCAUAUAUCUUAGUAUCAUAGUGCUAAAAAAUAUGUAAACUAAUAUUAUUAGAAAACUAAAACUUUGACUACUCUAUCUUGAUUUAAAUGUUUUUUUUGUGUAAUUGAUUUACGAAGGGGAUUGCUUGUACUUUCUUUUGAAUAUUUUUACAUGUAAGGUGUUAGUACAAUAUAAUUGAGACGUUUCUUGAGUAGCCAAAGUCAUAAUUCUCUACGAUAUGAGUAUAUGUAAGUCGAAGUCGAACCAACUAUGGUACCGAUUUACCGUACCGCAAAAUACCGAAAUCGAACUUAAAAAUACCGAACCAUCUUUUGAAUUAAUUGGGUAUGGUAAUGGUAUAGUACUUUUAGAAAUCGUAAACCGAAAUUACCGUACCGAAAUUUCAAAUACCGUACCAUACCAUACCAUGCUCACCCCUACUGCCAAGCUUUACCUCCAUUAGGUCUCCCAUAAAACCUAUAUGAUAUGUUUGCACAUGCGGAGCAAACUUUUCCCAUAAAACCUAUUUGAUACAUUUUAACAGCUAGAGAAUACCUUCAUCCGGAAUUUCAUUCUUGCCUUAUUGCAGCUGUUAUUUGAUAAAAGAAACAUUUAUCUAAUCACAAUUACAAUGAAAUCUAAAGCAGCCAUUUUUGAAGAAAAGGAAGACAGUGGUGCCGAUUCAUCCUUGCUCUUUGGCACCAAAAUUUGGAAAGCCGGCCUUGAGAGGAGCCAACAUCUUCUUAACCUAAAGAUUUCCCCGAUGUUAUAUAAAUAUGAACAUUAUUAUCAAAACCAAGUGCUCUAAGCAUAAGGCGAACAUCCUCAGGAGUUAGUGGGCAUAUUUUACAUUCCUUCUUUCUUUGAAGCAACAUGUUUAAUGUAUGCCUUUUCUACUUGAUUCGUCGAACACUUAACUCUGUUGGAUAGAUAUUAGAGCUACCAUUCUUUAAGCUCGCUGGUAUAGAGAAGAAGAGUUGUUUAAUUGGAGUCUUGAGAGGAAACGGAACUAGAAAGCUCGACGAAAGGGAUAAGCUGUAUGAAUUUUCAGAAUAUCCUUAUCCACGAAGGGAAAGAACUAAAAGACCACUAUCAUACACAGGUUAGGUUUUCAAUAAGCAUUAGCGCUAUUUUUACAGCUUGCAUACGCCAAUUUGUUUUGUUUUACAAUUGAAAGCCGGCUACCACAAAUAGCAAGCUGGCAAUUUAAGUCCCAAGGGAUGGAAAAACUUCGCCCUUAAAGCUGAUAGAUGCAUUAGUAAUGAGCAGAAAGACAUUGCACAACUCUUUGCUCCUUAACUUGCUACUUCAGGAAACCUCAUUCAAUUGAUUCUACAGCUUUGAAGAUGUAUUGGGAGUUUAUGAACAAGGAGCUCCGGGUUUUCUUAAGCAUCCAAUGCAACACGUUGUGAGAGGUAAUUGACUUUAGCUAGACACCCCUCUGUAAUUAUUCCUUUGCGUUGCGUUUUCCUAAAAUUGUACGUUGUAGAAACAAAGUGAGCAAGCUUGGAUGUCAGAUGAAGAAUUUGGAAGACAGAUGCUAGCUGGAUUAAAUUCCAUGUGCAUUCUGAGCUCAUCUUUAUUUAAAGCAUUAACAAAUUUGAAAUUUGGUUCGACAUAUGGGUGGAGAGAUUACUGUAAUUGGGCCCAUCUUUGGCACGAGCUGCUUUUAGAACGUGAUUUACUUUUUGCCGCUAAACUAAGCAGAAAUAUUUCAGUGAAAGGGCUUCUUAAAUCUUUACAGAUUCUAUUUGCAAGCUUCUGCUGCAAGAGAAAAGAAAGCUGGAUGAGGGAUUGAAAAAAUUGAGCGAACUUAUAAUAUGCCUUCAGCUAAGAAGCUUCUUGAACUCCUAUUAGCUGGCAUUGGUAGUUGUAGAAGAACUGAGGAUUGGGCCUAAAGUAAUCAAGAAGCUGGAGACUUCAUCUUUAUGCAAGAAGAUGAAGGCGAGUAAUUACAUUUUGCCUGGACUCAACAACACUGCCCAAAAGAUCAACUUCGGGUUCAUAUGGAGCGAAAUCCUUCUAACAUGGCAAUAGAUUUAGUUAUUCCCGCACUCAAGGUGAAAAGAUCAUGGUACGCUUGACCAUUAUAAGUUUGGUAGCAGACAUAAGAUGGGAAAGAAAACCAAUUCAACUCUUUGUCUGGGGCUGAGUUUCAUAAGCAUAUAAUUCCUCGGUA